This 487-nucleotide ribosomal RNA is filed under the name uncultured bacterium. RNAcentral's name for it is "bacterial SSU rRNA". It matches the Rfam family "Bacterial small subunit ribosomal RNA", at positions 501 to 987 of the family's 1533-position model. The record is from RNAcentral.
CUACGUGCCAGCAGCCGCGGUAAUACGUAGGGUGCGAGCGUUAAUCGGAAUUACUGGGCGUAAAGCGAGCGCAGACGGUUACUUAAGCAGGAUGUGAAAUCCCCGGGCUCAACCUGGGAACUGCGUUCUGAACUGGGUGACUAGAGUGUGUCAGAGGGAGGUAGAAUUCCACGUGUAGCAGUGAAAUGCGUAGAGAUGUGGAGGAAUACCGAUGGCGAAGGCAGCCUCCUGGGAUAACACUGACGUUCAUGCUCGAAAGCGUGGGUAGCAAACAGGAUUAGAUACCCUGGUAGUCCACGCCCUAAACGAUGUCAAUUAGCUGUUGGGCAACUUGAUUGCUUAGUAGCGUAGCUAACGCGUGAAAUUGACCGCCUGGGGAGUACGGUCGCAAGAUUAAAACUCAAAGGAAUUGACGGGGACCCGCACAAGCGGUGGACGAUGUGGAUUAAUUCGAUGCAACGCGAAGAACCUUACCUGGUCUUGACAU